GGAACACAAUCCAACCAUUGCGCUUCUGGACGACGUUGGGAAAAGUUCUGAAGUGUACGAGAACAGAGUGGCGGUUACGCAAGCAGCGAACAACUUGGCAAUCAGCGAAAAAAUUGUUUUGAUGAACAAGACUGACUGUAAGGCAACUUAAACCGCUUAACAGUAGACCGCUGCUUAGCAUAGGUCUGCGUCCAAUUUUCUCCACGGCAAACAUGCCAAAUAUGUAGGCGGGAAUUUCAACCAACCUGAUAACGCCUCAUGGAAAGCACUUGCAUGGAAAGCUCAUAGUUGACGUAGAAGUUGCCCACCAAAUUUGUGGUCGAGUAAGUGAUACCGUAAUACCCCAUCACUCCAGCUAUCCUGGGAAACACAAUACGCCAUGAAAACUAUGACAAGUCGUUUCACCAAAAUGUUUGAACGAAAAAUGUCGAGGACACCUUCGGCUACCGGUGUUGUGGAAACCUUUCCUAUUUGCUGCUUGA
Long non-coding RNA from Daphnia pulex (common water flea), 482 nucleotides. RefSeq lists it as uncharacterized. Lineage: Eukaryota; Metazoa; Arthropoda; Branchiopoda; Diplostraca; Daphniidae. The transcript has 4 exons. The record is from RefSeq and is a predicted model, not a curated record.